Molecule: long non-coding RNA, 512 nt
Filed under: Vitis vinifera (wine grape)
Lineage: Eukaryota; Viridiplantae; Streptophyta; Magnoliopsida; Vitales; Vitaceae
Description: long non-coding RNA (VVIN_LNC005326)
Source: RNAcentral
AAAGUGUCACAUCGGAGUUUGGGAUUGGUUCUGGUAUCAUUUUAUAAUGACCCAUUUCCUCUAAUAUGGAUGUCGGUCAUUAGAUUUAAUCAGAAAAAUUGACCUACUUGGUUUUGGUCAUUGAAGAUGUGUGGUGUCUCCCACACCAGAUCCAUUCUAAGUUUACGGACAAACUUGGUUUCCAGAUUGCCUAUAUACGUCGUCACACAUGUCUGCCACUUGACCACAUUCUCAUGGAACCUUAUAAACAAAAAUGUAAAAUCUACCAGUCGGUGGGUGAUGGGAGUGCUUUCCUUCUUAAUUAUAUGUAUCAUUCUCUCUUGCUUGGCUUCAUCAGCCCUCCUCUCUUCUCUCUAUAAAUCUGCCGACCCUGCCCAGUUGUUAUUCCCCCCCUUUCUCUUCUUCUCAGCCUUGGAGAUUGAAAACAACUCCAAAAGAAAUAGUUAAGUAAUAGGUACCCAGAACAGUUAGUGGUGUUGCAUGUGCUCUGGAAUCAGUGUGGUUGCUUUAUU